CAACAGGCAAAUCCGUUGUAUAAUCCUAAGACGUGAUGUGGAGCGAAAUAAAGUAGUGAAGCGUGUGAGCCAUGUGCCGAGAAAAGCUGCUAUUGUGUAAUGCGUGCCCGUACCGUAAACCGACACAGGUGGAUGAGGAGAGAAUCCUAAGGCCGACGGAAGAAGCAUUGUUAAGGAAUUCGGCAAAAUGACCCCGUAACUUCGGGAGAAGGGGUGCCUGCGAGAGCAGGCCGCAGAGAAUAGGCUCAAGCAACUGUUUAGCAAAAACACAGGUCUAUGCGAAACCGAAAGGUGAAGUAUAUGGGCUGACGCCUGCCCGGUGCAGGAAGGUUAAGAGGAGAGGUUAGCGUAAGCGAAGCUUUGAAUUUAAGCCCCAGUAAACGGCGGCCGUAACGAUAACGGUCCUAAGGUAGCGAAAUUCCUUGUCGGGUAAGUUCCGACCCGCACGAAAGGCGUAAUGAUUUGAGCACUGUCUCGACAAUGCAUCCGGUGAAAUUGAAGUACCAGUGAAGAUGCUGGUUACCCGCGCCAGGACGGAAAGACCCCAUGGAGCUUUACUCCAGUUUGAUACUGGGAUUCGGUACUGCAUGUACAGGAUAGGUGGGAGACAAAGAAGGAUGGACGCCAGUCUGUCCGGAGUCGCUGUUGGGAUACCACCCCUGUAGUACUGGGUUUCUAACCAGUUGCCAUGAACUGGCAAUGGGACAAUGUCAGGCGGGGAGUUUGACUGGGGCGGUCGCCUCCGAAAGGGUAUCGGAGGCGCUCAAAGGUUCCCUCAGAAUGGUUGGAAACCAUUUGAAGAGUGCAAAGGCAGAAGGGAGCUUGACUGCGACACCGACGGGUGGAGCAGGUACGAAAGUAGGACUUAGUGAUCCGGUGGUAUAAAGUGGGAUUGCCAUCGCUCAACGGAUAAAAGCUACCCUGGGAUAACAGGCUUAUCACUCCCAAGAGUUCACAUCGACGGAGUGGUUUGGCACCUCGAUGUCGGCUCAUCGCAUCCUGGGGCUGUAGCAGGUCCCAAGGGUUGGGCUGUUCGCCCAUUAAAGCGGUACGCGAGCUGGGUUCAGAACGUCGUGAGACAGUUCGGUCCCUAUCCGGCGCGGGCGGAGGAUAUUUGAGAGGAGCUGUCCUUAGUACGAGAGGACCGGGAUGGACGGACCACUGGUGUAUCUGUUGUCGACCAACGGCAUGGCAGAGUAGCCAAGUCUGGAAGGGAUAAACGCUGAAGGCAUCUAAGCGUGAAGCCCCCCUCAAGAUGAGAUAUCCCUCCUUCGGGAGUAAGACCCCUUGAAGACUACAAGGUAGAUAGGGCAGAGGUGGAAGCAUGGCAACAUGUGGAGCUGACUGUUACUAAUAGGUCGAGGGCC
This 1367-nucleotide ribosomal RNA is filed under the name metagenome. Its description in RNAcentral is "bacterial LSU rRNA". It matches the Rfam family "Bacterial large subunit ribosomal RNA", at positions 1530 to 2925 of the family's 2925-position model. The record is from RNAcentral.